CUCCAUAUCUAAAUAGUAAUCAAUUGUAUGUUAUAUUGUAUACAUAUGAUAUUAAAUGGUAUUCCAUAUUAUCAAAAAAGAUAUGUAUCCCACAUUCGACUUCAUAUCUUUUUUUAAGAACAGAAAAAUUACCAUUUUCAGAAUAUAAUAAGAUACACUAUCACAUCUUAGUAAUUUAUAUUUCUGUCUAUAGAGUCGGGCAACAUCAUAUAACUUAAAUAAUAGUUACUGUAUUGUUUUGAUAUUUUAAAAGAAUUUUCAAAAUUUAUCUCAUACAUUGUCCUUAUAUUAUAUCAUGACAGGCAAGGCAUGUUUGUAAUAAAAUGAACAAUACGACGGGUACCACAUAUGAAACAGGC
This 359-nucleotide long non-coding RNA is filed under the name Mytilus galloprovincialis (Mediterranean mussel). The record is from RNAcentral. Lineage: Eukaryota; Metazoa; Mollusca; Bivalvia; Mytilida; Mytilidae.